Long non-coding RNA from Leucoraja erinaceus (little skate), 1704 nucleotides. RefSeq lists it as uncharacterized. The record is from RefSeq and is a predicted model, not a curated record. Lineage: Eukaryota; Metazoa; Chordata; Chondrichthyes; Rajiformes; Rajidae. The transcript has 3 exons.
UUACAAAAGGAUUCUGGAAUCUUGACCAGUUUAUGUUCAGGGUUCCCAACAGUUUUGCUUGUGUUUUUUUUCCCUUUUCAUGACCCAUCCUAUGUUUUCAAUUAGCACCUCAUGUUAAUUGGAUCCGUUCCCUGAGGGUAGUAGGUGGUGUCUCACUUUCUCCCAUCAUUGGUGAUAUAUUUGAAACAUGACAUUUAUGACUUGAGUCCAGGGCCGUUAGAAAAAGUCAUUUACUCCGGGUCACUGCUAAAGCUAGCCACAGUAGCCGACUGAACACACUUGUUUGAUGUGGUUGUUAUCAGUAACACCCUUUGCUACUUCAUUCCAAUCAUUAAAUAAUUUGCAAAAGCUGGCAAAGAACAAGGUUACAUUUAUGAAAUGUGCAGCAAGAAACUGCAGAUGCCGGUUUAAACCGAAGAUAGACACAAAAAGCUGGAGUAACUCAGCGGAACAGGCAGCAUCUCUGGAGAGAAGGAAUGGGUGACGUUUCCAGGUCGAGACCCUUCUUCAGACUGACCUUUAUAAAGACUGAAGUAGCCGGCCCUUCCUCAUCCCCUGAAGACCAGAGACCGGGAGGAUGGAGCCGGCAACGAGAAGCAAGGCCGGUAGGAGAGUGAACCGGGGUCUGGCUUACCGCUCCCUCAAGGUCAGCUGCGGGAGGCACCCCUGGGGCACAAAGGUGGACGGGCAAGGAGAGGGGCGUGGGUACACUGGACGUUCCAAGGAAGGUGAAGGCUGGAGGCCCUGCAGCAGCCUGGGCCUUGCCUGGAUAGGACAAUGCCCAUUGGAACCUGGAGCGCGGACUGGUCUUUGAAAAUGGCGUCAAACAUGGCGCCUCUUGCAUGCGGGCUCAGUGGGCUAUUUCGGUACCCUUUGCUAAUCGGUGAUUGUGCUUAGGCAUGGCAAUACUUCACUAGGACUGUAUGUAAGUAAAGAAUUUCACUGUGCGUUUGCACAUGUGACAAUAAAAACAUAAUUGAACCAUUGAACCAGUGAACCAUCAAAGGAGUUCCCACGUAUUAAUAUAAUUCUGCUUCAUUACCCCCACAGCAACCUAUAAUGGGGCAUUUGCCCAGAUGUGUUUUAUAAUCCUAUUUGACACAUACCAGGAUCUCACACUAUUGCAGAGCCGAAUUUUAUUCAUUUGUGGCACAGAAGUGCUUUAUUUUAAAGGAAAAAAGCAGCCCAAGAAGAAAGACCCUGCUUGUGUUCAUCCUGUCCAUUCAUAAUUAUAAAAUGGCCACCAAGGUUGUAGAAACGCAUCAAAUAAUCAGCCCAUACAAUUUUGAUGGAACAUUUUCCCACUCAUUUUCCCACUUAAAAAUAUCAAUUUAACUCACAUAGGUGUACAGAUAAUCCUUCAAGUAAAAAACGUCUAUCAGAAGAUUAACUAUAUUCUCUUUCAUUUACAGAUAUGGACCACAAUGGCAACAGCAAAGCAUUUCAAAGUUAAAGGAUAUAUAAGAGAUUUUUUUUCUCACUUUGAUUCAUUCUCUGUGGAUUUAGCCCUUUGGUAAUAUUGUAUAGUGGAGGACAAUCUAUUUUUGUUGCAAAUAUAUUAUUUUCAUUCCUCCAUUUGGAUGUAUCCAGACCGAAAAAAAAAUGUUGCAUUAGUAAGUUGCACUAGUGUAUCGCUGAAAGGCCGAGACUAGGAUUCAAUGCUGUUAAGAUUUGUUUGAAAUGGUUUCCGAGUGUUGUACUUAA